UACGUAGGGUGCGAGCGUUGUCCGGAAUUAUUGGGCGUAAAGAGCUUGUAGGCGGUUUGUCGCGUCUGCUGUGAAAUUUCGGGGCUCAACCCCGAACUUGCAGUGGGUACGGGCAGACUAGAGUGUGGUAGGGGAGACUGGAAUUCCUGGUGUAGCGGUGAAAUGCGCAGAUAUCAGGAGGAACACCAGUGGCGAAGGCGCCGCUCUGGGCCGAGACUGACGCUGAGGAGCGAAAGCGUGGGUAGCAAACAGG
RNAcentral lists this ribosomal RNA (253 nucleotides) under uncultured bacterium. RNAcentral describes it as "partial 16S ribosomal RNA". It matches the Rfam family "Bacterial small subunit ribosomal RNA", at positions 524 to 776 of the family's 1533-position model. The record is from RNAcentral.